UACGGAGGGUGCUAGCAUUAAUCGGAUUUAUUGGGCGUAAAGGGCGCGUAGGCGGCAAGAUAAGUCAGAUGUGAAAUCCCGGGGCUCAACCUCGGAACAGCAUAUGAAACUAUCUUGCUAGAGGGUAGGCGGAGAAAACGGAAUUCCACAAGUAGCGGUGAAAUGCGUAGAUAUGUGGAAGAACACCGGUGGCGAAGGCGGUUUUCUAGCUUAUUCCUGACGCUGAGGCGCGAAAGCAAGGGGAUCAAACAGG
Molecule: ribosomal RNA, 253 nt
Filed under: uncultured bacterium
Lineage: Bacteria
Description: partial 16S ribosomal RNA
Rfam family: Bacterial small subunit ribosomal RNA
Source: RNAcentral